GCUUUUUUGGCGGAACUGGUAGACGCGACAGACUUAAAAUUUGUUCUUUUAUAAGGUAUUGGUUCAAGUCCAAUAAAAAGCA
Molecule: transfer RNA, 82 nt
Filed under: Flavobacteriales bacterium
Lineage: Bacteria; Pseudomonadati; Bacteroidota; Flavobacteriia; Flavobacteriales
Description: tRNA-Leu
Rfam family: tRNA
About the family: Transfer RNA (tRNA) molecules are approximately 80 nucleotides in length. Their secondary structure includes four short double-helical elements and three loops (D, anti-codon, and T loops).
Source: RNAcentral